This 448-nucleotide ribosomal RNA is filed under the name uncultured bacterium. RNAcentral describes it as "SSU rRNA". It matches the Rfam family "Bacterial small subunit ribosomal RNA", at positions 26 to 518 of the family's 1533-position model. The record is from RNAcentral.
AGAGCGAACGCUGGCGGCAGGCUUAACACAUGCAAGUCGAACGGAUCCUUCGGGAUUAGUGGCGGACGGGUGAGUAACACGUGGGAACGUGCCUUUAGGUUCGGAACAACACAGGGAAACUUGUGCUAAUACCGGAUGUGCCCUUCGGGGGAAAGAUUUAUCGCCUUUAGAGCGGCCCGCGUCUGAUUAGCUUGUUGGUGAGGUAAAGGCUCACCAAGGCUACGAUCAGUAGCUGGUCUGAGAGGAUGGCCAGCCACAUUGGGACUGAGACACGGCCCAAACUCCUACGGGAGGCAGCAGUGGGGAAUCUUGCGCAAUGGGGGAAACCCUGACGCAGCCAUGCCGCGUGGAUGAUGAAGGUCUUAGGAUUGUAAAAUCCUUUCAGGCGGGGACGAUAAUGACGGUACCCGCAGAAGAAGCCCCGGACUAACUUCGUGCCAGCAGCCGC